RNAcentral lists this ribosomal RNA (753 nucleotides) under Diversispora eburnea. RNAcentral's name for it is "SSU rRNA". It matches the Rfam family "Eukaryotic small subunit ribosomal RNA", at positions 351 to 1106 of the family's 1831-position model. The record is from RNAcentral. Lineage: Eukaryota; Fungi; Glomeromycota; Glomeromycetes; Diversisporales; Diversisporaceae.
GAUUACGGGUACGGGGAUUAGGGUUCGAUUCCGGAGAGGGAGCCUGAGAAACGGCUACCACAUCCAAGGAAGGCAGCAGGCGCGCAAAUUACCCAAUCCCGACACGGGGAGGUAGUGACAAUAAAUAACAAUACGGGGCUCAUUUGGGUCUCGUAAUUGGAAUGAGUACAAUUUAAAUCUCUUAACGAGGAACAAUUGGAGGGCAAGUCUGGUGCCAGCAGCCGCGGUAAUUCCAGCUCCAAUAGCGUAUAUUAAAGUUGUUGCAGUUAAAAAGCUCGUAGUUGAACUUCGGGGUUUACCCAUUGGUCAGGCUUAAUUGUCUGUACUGGUGAGAUAAAUCUCUACCUUCUGAGGAACUUUCAUGUCAUUAAUUUGGUGUGAUUGGAAAUCAGGACUGUUACUUUGAAAAAAUUAGAGUGUUUAAAGCAGGCUAACGUCUGAAUACAUUAGCAUGGAAUAAUGAAAUAGGACGGAUUGAUUCUAUUUCGUUGGUUUCUAGGAUCACCGUAAUGAUUAAUAGGGAUAGUUGGGGGCAUUAGUAUUCAAUUGUCAGAGGUGAAAUUCUUGGAUUUAUUGAAGACUAACUACUGCGAAAGCAUUUGCCAAGGAUGUUUUCAUUAAUCAAGAACGAAAGUUAGGGGAUCGAAGACGAUCAGAUACCGUCGUAGUCUUAACCAUAAACUAUGCCGACUAGGGAUCGGACGAAGUUAAUUUUAUAAUGACGCGUUCGGCACCUUACGGGAAACCAAGUGU